UGCGAGCUGCGAAUGUCGCCGUCGGCCUGCUGCUGCUGUGACGUGCCCAUGGCUGCAACCCCCACCGCUGCGAGCGGGGGCAGCAGUGGUGCCGACGGCUUUUCAUCAGAGCCAGAUUCACCCCGCUGGAAGCGGCCACGCCGGCUGGAACCGACAAGUUCCCAGCAGCAUAGGUCACGCCACGAAUGAUUCGAGCAACUUAUUACCAUCUUAUUGUAGCUGCUGAGAGCUCGAGUAGCAUGUAUUGCCGAGCACAAGUGAGCAGGAGAUACGGGGGACGUCAUUGACACCCUCACUCGGUGCCGCAAUGAUAAUGGGGCCCCGGCUUUUAUUGAUGGCCUCCCGCCGCUAACUCGUAUGUAUAUAUCGUCCAACGCGACUGCUGGCGUGAUGAUGAGAUAUUUAGUACGACGGUAUGUGUAGUAUUCUUGGAGUGGCUGGCUGGCGGGGUUCCUUCCCGGCGCUGGGUCGUUUUCGGUCGCCACAGUCACCAACACCUACGGCAAUACGUAAUAAUAUGUAGGUAAUGUAUUAAUUUAGUCAAAAUCACCAAGCAGGUACGCACACGGGGUGUGUGUGUGCGUCAACGGCUUGCUUGCUUGAUAUUAUUACUUGUAUGUAUGUAUGUAUGUAUGUGUGUUACACCUUGAGUUGUGUUGCUCGCCGAAGACAUAAUAACCGGCCUGCGCAAUGGCCGGCAUUACGGGUAUGUGUUUUUGGUUAUUGCGUGCUGUGGACUGCUCAGACCUGCCUUGCCCGCUGCCGCUGUGUUAAGGUGCGCGUCCCUUUAAAAUAGCCACCAUAUGCGAGUAAUCAUUUCGACUAUCUAAUGGAAUCCUUGCUGCGGCCCUGCCUCCGUCUUAUUAUGACUCCCCUCUCCCUAUAUUACCUCUUACAAUUUGGACCGCUGCAGCUAGCUAUAGCUAUAGGCCUUAUGACGC
Molecule: long non-coding RNA, 941 nt
Filed under: Volvox carteri
Lineage: Eukaryota; Viridiplantae; Chlorophyta; Chlorophyceae; Chlamydomonadales; Volvocaceae
Description: long non-coding RNA (VCAR_LNC001350)
Source: RNAcentral